AUGAACGCUGGCGGCGUGCCUAAUACAUGCAAGUCGCGCGAACAGACGAGGAGCUUGCUCCUCUGACGUUAGCGGCGGACGGGUGAGUAACACGUGGAUAACCUACCUAUAAGACUGGGAUAACUUCGGGAAACCGGAGCUAAUACCGGAUAAUAUAUUGAACCGCAUGGUUCAAUAGUGAAAGACGGUUUUGCUGUCACUUAUAGAUGGAUCCGCGCCGCAUUAGCUAGUUGGUAAGGUAACGGCUUACCAAGGCAACGAUGCGUAGCCGACCUGAGAGGGUGAUCGGCCACACUGGAACUGAGACACGGUCCAGACUCCUACGGGAGGCAGCAGUAGGGAAUCUUCCGCAAUGGGCGAAAGCCUGACGGAGCAACGCCGCGUGAGUGAUGAAGAUCUUCGGAUCGUAAAACUCUGUUAUUAGGGAAGAACAAAUGUGUAAGUAACUAUGCACGUCUUGACGGUACCUAAUCAGAAAGCCACGGCUAACUACGUG
RNAcentral lists this ribosomal RNA (496 nucleotides) under uncultured bacterium. RNAcentral's name for it is "partial 16S ribosomal RNA". It matches the Rfam family "Bacterial small subunit ribosomal RNA", at positions 29 to 507 of the family's 1533-position model. The record is from RNAcentral.